GAUCAAAGCAGCUGAGAAAAGAGAGAAAGAGUCCAAGAGGUUUGCACAGAGAGGCGACCGCGUGCGUGCGUGCAGCUGUGUGCAGCUCUCUUCACCGGGGACAGAGCCUUCUUGAGGAGCAUCUGGAAUGAAUGAGAUGUAAAUAUUUACAGGCCUGGAUUGUAAGGUCAAGAAGGAGGUUCCCAUCCCAGAAGGCUGCUGAACCUCUGGGGAGAGAAGGGGACGCCCAGCCUCUGCACAGUGUGGGAAGGAUGCAAUGAUGAUGGGAGGGGAUGGGGCUGUGCUGGGAUCGCCCCGUUUGCUCUGGGUUCUGCGUCUUCUAAACAAGGCCUCCAUUCCCUUCCUUUGCAUCAUAUUCGUCUAGAUAACAGACCAGUCUCGGACGAGACCACCACCACCCAUAAGGAGGAGAACCAAAGGACCAAAUACUGUCUUUGGAAACCCAGACUUCAAGGGACAACAGCACAGAAAGAAAAGGUGAGAGACUGGACAGAACAACCUAGCUCUUUCUGCAGGACCUCAAGCUGAAAUUCUGCUUGUGGUCACCAAAAUUUCUCCUCUUGCCUCUAUCUUCCAUUCUGCUCUUUGGUUCGCUCUAGCCAAAGUGAGGAAAAGACAGCACAACUAAACAGGUACACAGGCAUCCUGAAUCAAAUCCUUGUUAAUUUAGCCUUUUAAAUUCUGACUCAUAUAUUGACCCUGUGAUUGUGUUCCAAAACUAAGCACAUUCUUGUGUCUUCUGCUCUGGUGCUAACGAAACUUAGCUCUACUCAGCUUCUACAUCAGAGGGGACUGGCAUGUUCAGAAUAUUUUCAGGGGAUGCUCAGAAAGAAAGGGGGAGAAAAGCUCAUGAUUCAGGACUGAUAGUAUGCUGCAGUACUCUCUUUUCCUUCUCUUGGAAAAGGAAAGCUGCCACCCGCUACGAGUCCCGGAAGGGCUCCUUCCCAAAAUUUCCUAAGUCUGUCCCACUCUGAACUAGUCUGUGCACACAGAGCAGGUGGGUUGACUGGAUCUGUGUGCACAGAUCAGACUGGACUCUAUAGAUUGAGGCUGCCAGUGGAAGAUACUGGGGGGUUGGUUGGUCCCUCUUUUGAGUAUACAUACACCCACCUGGCCCUACUCCUGGAAGUUAAAACCUAUCACAUCAGGGAGAAAGAUUCUAGCUCAGUACAUGCCUUAUUCUAAUUAAUGAGUAGAUCAGACCUUAAGUACUAUUCCUUGGUAGAUACAUUCUGUUGAAUAUCCAUAGCCCAAGUUUCCAUGCAAGUAAAUUUUACAGGAUCAGAAACUUAUUUUUCAGUGGGAAAUUAUUGAAACCAAGUUCUCUUUCACGUUAGGACUACAAGCCAAAAGUAUGUCUGUGAGUAGAUUGAGAUUGUGCAGAACUGUGUGAAUUGUUAGUUGAAGAGAAGUUGUUUCAUUUAUUUUGUGGUAACUGAAUGUCAGGACUGAAAUUUUUGCCAUCGUGUUUUAUAGGUCCUCAGAGAGAGAGAAAGAGAGAGAGGAGAGAGAGACAGAGACAGAGAGA
This 1528-nucleotide long non-coding RNA is filed under the name Pogona vitticeps (central bearded dragon). Its description in RNAcentral is "lncRNA (ENSPVIG00000004331.1)". The record is from RNAcentral. Lineage: Eukaryota; Metazoa; Chordata; Lepidosauria; Squamata; Agamidae.